ACUUAUUGGAACAGACAAACGGAUAUUCUGAAUUGUGUCUUUUGAAUCAUAUUCACUACUACCAAUUGUAGCAUACUGAUAACUUGACGAUUCACAAUUCUCACAUUGAUUUACAAUAAUUCGAGCAACAUCUGCGAAAACAAUAUAAGCACGUUAUCACACAUCAGGAAAUAAACAAAUUGUUGAAUCAGCGGAAUACAAGCUCGGACGGAGAUAUGAAGUGUAUAGAAAUUCAUAUAGGAGCAAGUGAGUUGAAGGUCAAUCACAUGCUACUAUUUAACAGGAACGUAUUUUAAAUAUUCUUUUAAAAACAACGGCGAUGGGAAAUUUUUUAUGAAUAAUGUAAUACUUUUUGUACUAAUGCAAAAAAGUAUCAUUUCACGCUGCAAUUGUACAUAUUGAAUAUAAUUUUAGUUAUUAGAAUGUUCAGAAAUUGAUAUAAAAUGGUUUUGUACUAUUAAACAAUUUCAAAAGUAA
Dalotia coriaria is the source of this 477-nucleotide long non-coding RNA. RefSeq lists it as uncharacterized. NCBI's taxonomy places the organism in Eukaryota, Metazoa, Arthropoda, Insecta, Coleoptera, Staphylinidae. The transcript is spliced from 2 exons. The record is from RefSeq and is a predicted model, not a curated record.